GCCGUCCCUGCCAUAAAGCCAGUAAAACUAGAGUUUUAGGCCACAAAAUUACAUACAUUACAAUAUUUGAGGCCACAUUUUUGAAAAAUGAUUAUAGUUAAGUGGUUAAAAACAUUAUUUUCACUUUUUGUUCAGCUGGAGUCUUGCAUUUUCAACGUUAUGGUUUAUGUUGAAUUUGUAAUGUUUCCUCUUUAUUUUUUUUUCUAUUUUGACAUAUGUGUUUUUUUUUUUUUUUUUAAAUUUACUAUUAUUCCAACCCGAAACCGGGAAUCACAGCAUCCGUUACAAGCUUAAAUCGACCAAAAUGUUCUAAAUCAGACCUAGCUAGACUAACUUCGCUCGCCCACUAAACCGACGCCAUCCACUAGCUUCGUUCGGAAAUCCUUAGAAUAUCAAGCACUGUUCUCUGCCGUUGAUGUUAACCACUUGAACGUGGGGUUUAUCUCUCGGAUGCCGGUAUUCUCGUGACAUCAACGUAGUAGCUGGAUUUUGAGGAUCUCCUCAAGCUUGUAACUUUAACCGUCAAUGAAGCUCGACAAGGCGGAAUGAGGUGAAAGAUAGCGAACCUUGUGAAGUGCCAUCAAGUCCUCAAGACCGCUAACAACGAAGGGAGUGAGACGCCAUAGCCGAGGGACAACACGACUUGAACAGACGACACCGAACCUCCUGACAAACGGAUUGCAAUGAAGGCGACACUAGAAGCAAUCACUUCAUUACCCUGCAAAAAAGAUAGAGUUUAGUCUACGCAGAAGACCAAGAAGCCUUCUCUGCACUCGGAAGACCAAACUCCGCCCAGGCCUCCUCGCCAUCUGCUACCCGAAGACUCAAACGAGCAAGUAAAAUGACGACCUGGUUCAAACUUAGAGAACCUAAGUUGAUCUUCUUUGAAACUGCUAGGCCAUUCCACGCUGGAGAUACGCAGGACGACCGACAGAAGGGCUGAAGAUAACAAGACCAUUCGCGAGAUGGUCUGAACAUUGCGCCAGACAUGAGAACAGAUCUACAAGGAAAGAACAACCGCAGGAAAAGACGAGAACACUGCCAUAGACGACAGUUCCUCAGCACGACUCCGGAAUUGCAGACGCCAACCACGGGGACACAGCUGCCACACGACUACCGUAAACCCGUGCACGAACCGACGGAGAACCGCCGCCUCUCCUGAUCGAAAACAGACAAACCUCCGAAGCAGGACACCCAGCUCCGUCGAGAUAGAAAGCUUCGCGAACCACUCCACAUCGAGAGACCUCGAGAUAAGACCAACCUAGAGAAACAGGGAGAGAGAGAUCUCGAUACAUCACGCGCCAUCACCGCCAAGGAAACCAGACAGAUCUACAAAUACAAAAUGAAAUCGCCGGAUUCCAAAACCCUAAAAGCCGACUCCGAUCAACUCACAGCCUCCACCGCCUCGUCUCACCUCCAGAGGCAGUCAUAACCACUGGAUCUGUCUCCCCCCGGGAGGAUCUAGGAUUCCAAUUUCAUGACCUUUCCAGAGCUCUGACAUAUCAACGGUAAGGGACAGCAAGGGACUGAAGCAAAGAUAAAAAAAGAGAGAAAAGGGGAGGAGAAGGCGCCUCCGACGGUGGAGCUAACGUACACCGGCAAGCCGCUGAUGUCUCCACGCGCCGGAGCAAGAUGGUUCUUCGUAAGUCGUAGAGAGUGGAGAGAGAAUUGGGAACAGUGGAGAGAGAGAGAACCUUGUUAUACGUGUUUUUCUUUUAGUUUGAAUAACUUACUUGUUAUUGUUUUAUAAAACUUAUUUGCUCUUUUUAUUAUUUUUGUUUUACUUAAAAUAGAAAUUAUAAUAAUUCAGACAAACUAGUGAUUUUUAUUUAUUAAAAUAUAUACUAAUAAUCUAAUAUUUAUCUGAACUUUUGAUAUAUAACUAGACUAAUAUACCAUUUUAUAUUUUAAAGAAAAUAUUAUAUCUAUAUUUGUAUAAAUAUAUUUAAGUUAAAUAUAUGCUGCCGUAUAUAAAUAUGCUUUAGGCCUCAAAAUAUAUGGGGGCGUGGAUACAAUAGAUAUAUAAGAAGUUAUUGGAAUAACCUAUACGAUAAUUGCGUACAAUGGCGACGAGUUAGACGAAAUACUUAUGAAAUAUGAUGAUAUACAUAAUUAAAAGAUUCAAUAAUUACUUAAUAACUAGAACCUUUCCCGGGCUACGCCCGGGUUUUUGCAUAAAAUUAAUAAAAUAUAAAUUUGCAUAUUAUUUUAUUUAAGUACAUAUACAUGUGGUGUUUUUUUAAAGUACAUAUACAUGUAUAUUUUUUUACAGAAUUGAAAAAUGAAAUAAUUUAUGACUUUGAAGCUAUUUAAAUUAAACUUUAUUGUUUUUAAUAUCUAAAAUAAAAUAGAAUUAACAAAAACUAAUUAAGUCUUAGUUAUAAUCCAAUUCCUCAUCUUUACUCAUUUGAGUUCUUUUUUUUUUUUUGUAAAAGACCUAUUUAAGUUCUCAGUAUAAGAAAUUGUUAGAUUUAUAAUGAUUUAUAUAUUUUUGGUUAGGAUCAAUACUGAGUUUCUAUUCAAAAAUUUAUAUGGAUUUAUUUAUAUAUAAUCUAUUAAAAUAGAAGUCAUGACACCUUUUAUGUGUGAUUUUUUUUUAUUUGGAAAAUUCUUAAAAUAUUUAUGAAAUUUUACAUAACUUAAUUAUAAUAUAUUUAUUUUUAUUUAAAAUACUAAUAAAUAUCUUAAGAAAAUGUCUAACAAAAUCUUUCAAAUAUCUUUUAGAAUCUUUUAAAGCUUUAUUUUCGAAAUUAUUUAAUUAACAUUUUAAUUAUGACAGUAUAAUUAGAAACUAAAUAGUAGUUUAGUUUUGAUUGUAAACAAAAAUUAAAAAUUAUAUAAAAUACUUUUAAAAAUAUUUUAAUUAUAAUAACAAUUUUAAAUUUAUUUAAUUUUCAAAAUUAAUCUUAAGAAAUAUUAAAAAGGAAAUAUUCAUUUCUAUUUCUGAUUUAAAAAUAAAAAUAUGUUAUCUAAGAAAUUAUGAUAUAUUUAACACAUGAUUUUUUUUUAAAAAAAAAUUAGACAACUUUUUGUUUUUUUUUGACUUCAACAUAAAUGUUCUUACCAUGCAAUAUAAUUAAUUUACACCUCUUUUCAUAGAUGAAACAUUUGAUAUUUAUUCAUAUCGUAUAUAUAAGAAUUUAUUCUACUGUUAUUGACGUCAGUGUAUUCCCAUGAGCUAAAAAAAACAAUUCGGUUCAUUAUUUAUACAGUUAUACUAAUUUGGUUUAAUUAUUUACUAUAUACCAAAUUCUCUAAUAAUGUUAUACGCCAUUAAAAUAUUAUUAUAAAUUUAGAUAAUAUAUCUAACACCAAAAUUUAUUAAUUUAUUGAUAUAUUUUAUUGAAUAACUUAACUUAUUUUAGUGAUAAAAGAACUGGUUUGUUUCAUGUGGCAAAACAAAUUCCAAAUAAAAAAAAUCAAGAUAAUAAUAUUCUACAACAUUUUUUUUUGUUUUUGAAAAGAGCAUUUUUUUGUAUGGUUAUAUUUUGGCUUCAGAACUAUUGAAUUCAAAGAUAAAAUGAUUGUUUUAUACACUUCUAACUUCUUCCCAUUUUAGGAUUAAGGUAAGAGUUCCAAACAAUACUUAAAACAUGAAUACAUGGUUGUAAUAAAGUGAUUAAGUUUUAAAAAGGUAAUUUGUAAAUUCUUCACAGCAAAUCAGUUUCCUGAGUCCAAAGCAAUCAUUUCACUGUACUAUUUGAUGUGUCUUUUUACUUUGUUUCCUCUUAAAUUCCAACAACCACUUCGUUUCUCACAUGCAUGUUUCUAUAGAUUUCAAUGAGCACCGACGCUGUGAUUCUCAAGAAUAUAGUCUUCAGGAACCAUCUAGUUCCACGAUUUUCCACGAGUCAUAAGCGUAUAAAAACAGUAAACCAAAACUAAGAACAUAGUCAGGUCUUAUUCAAUUUCUUUACCAUUCUCCUUGCAAGACGAAACUGAAUUUUCCAAUUCAGUUUCUAUUCAUAUAUGUUCCUCCAUAUUUUGUUGAUCAUACACUAUCUCUUGAGCCUCCCUUUUUUUCCUCUCAAGAUAACCCAGCCACAAAAUGGUGACUCUCUUCUCUGUUUGCUCUGCAGUUUCUAUCCUCGACCACACAAUGUUAUCUCUCUGGCUCUCUAUACAGUCCUGCGUAUUCGCUUGAGCCUCUCUCACCCUCCUGUGGUUGUUAGUGUUCUCACAAUUUCUAAAGUAUAAACAAAGACAUUUUAUAUAAGAAAAAAAAAAGCAACUUAGUAUUAUAACCGGUAGGAACCAGUAAAACAGAGCUUGCCUAAAUUAGUUUACUCAAGUUCACUACACUCUUAAAGAGUAGCAAGGAUUCCUUGUAUUGCAACACUACAUACUUCAUAGCUGACUCCCUGUAAUAUGUCUUCCAAGAUAUUCAAAUAAGUGAUCUUAUUCCUGGCAAAAUAGACAAAAUUAUAGAGUAGAAAUAAGCUCAUAAAUCAGUUAACUGAUAAACGUCUGUCUGAAUCGUAUAUAAUAAAUAACAAAACAUGCAUGACCCGAGGUUGAUGUUAUGUUUACGGAAGUAACGUGCUACUAUGUGAACAUGCACUUAUACAAUAACGUAAGAACAUUCUCAAUAUGCAAAAGUAAACUUAGCACCAAGCCACCAACUUAUAUGUAUCAUGUCAACAGUUUAUUAAAGCUGGAAAUUAUCAACUACCUAUCGUCAAGCUUUAUUGCUGCCAUGAGGCGUCGAGUGCUCUGGGUGUCUUGGUUUUACAUGGGUUUGAUGCCCCUAAUCUCUCCAACAAUAUCUGAUGACCAAGAUAAACACAUACGCUACUUAUCUGUGAAAUAAUUAAUUAUUAUAUGGUGUGUGGCAAGGAAUUUGUAGCUAUUCAAACCUGGCAAAUGACAUGAGAUUCGUAUUUGCAGAACCUGAAGCUCUCCUCCGGGCUUGGCUCAGCUGUGGCUGUGAAUUCCACGAUAAACUUAAAUCGGAUUGCUUCUUGCAACAUUGAAACCACUUAAUCCAUACACGAAGCCUUCUUGCAAGAUAUGUUGGAAGAGUGAAGACAGUUUGAAGGUUGAUUGACCUCUAGAUGAUUGUGGCCAGCGAGUCUGCAACAGGAGUAUAUUAAACAAAUUACAACAAACACCAAAUAUCAAAUCUAUUAAUCCUCUAUAACAGAAAGUAAGUAUUCAAGUUACCUUUGCAUCAUAUUAUAUCAGCAAACAAAGACAGAAUCAAUUAACAAAACCAAACCACUUAAACUCUAGAUUCUAAAUCAAUAAACAAAGCCUAAAUCAUCUUACAUCAGCAAAGGUAAAUAAAACCAGUAAAACUAAAAAAAAAAAUAUAGACGCAAGAUUUCCAAAUCAAUAUACAAAACCAAAAUCAUCUAAACCUGGAUUUCAAGAUAUUUGAAUAUAAUGAUUUUUUUAUCACCUUUGCAUCAAGGAGGAGCAUAUCAACGCCCUUGAGUUCACCACCUUGCCUUUCUGAAAUAGGAACAGAUAUAAAAUAUUGAGCUUUACCUUUUGGGUUGGCUAUAUAUAUAUAUAUAUUCAUGAGUGCAAUGAAGUGGAUAAGCUAAAACGAUACCUCUACUGGAGAAGAGUAAAUGAUGGCCGUGGUGGAUGAUAUUAUUAAACUACAAACUAAAUCUAGCUGAUAUCAGCCUUGAUGAAAUGAUCUUAAUACCAUUUUUCAAAUCGAGGUGCAAACUAAAAAAAGAAGUAAAGACAGACCUGACUCCAAGGAUGAGAGCAGCUUCACGCCUGUGUCAUGGCAGCUUGGAAACCACCUUCAUAAAACUUGCGCAUUCUAGGCACGAUGGGCCUGGCCUUGAAGGCUUGCCAAGAGUGUAUACCAUAUCUACCAGCUAUAGCAGCAGCAGCUACUGCAGCACCUGCAACCAUUGGCGUAGCCUGUGUGUAACCAAAAAAUAAACGUCAGAUAACAAAAUUAAAAAAAAAGGAACCCACAGAUUCAAAGAUUAAUCUCUCUCUCUCUCUCUCUGUUAUAACCACAGAAGAGGUGACAGAUAGGGAGGUUUCAUUAUUGUUACAAAGAUUGAAAGAGUUGUAACGGAGACAUCAAAUGGCAGAACCUGAUAGACUUCAACCCUUCCUGUGAUGGGGUUUCCUGCUCUUCUUCUCAUUACCUCUUAGAAGAACCCCUCCCAACGCGUGAAUCUUCAUCAUCGCCUGAGACAUCAGAGUCGGAAGAAGCUGCCACUUUGUUCCUACGCUUCUGCCUUCUACCACUUGCAUCAUCCUCAGACGAAUCAGAAUCAUCAGACCGGUUACGCCUGCUCCUCCUUUCUCCUCUUCUCCUUCCUACUCUUUCUCUUAACACUUCUCCGAUCUUCAUCAUAAGACUCAUCAGAAUCAUCAUCAUCUCUCUUUCUCCCUCUCCUCUCCUUCCUUCUCUUACUCCUACCAUCUUCCUCCUCCUCCUCAGACUCACUCACACUCCUCCUCUUAUGCGUCCUCCGCUUCUUCGACCUCCUCCUCCUCUUCCUAUCUCCAGAAUCAGACUCAGACUCAGACUCAUCCCGCUUCUUCUUCUUCUUCUUAACACUACUACUACUGCCACUCCCCUUCUUCUUCUUCCCAUACCUCUCAGCAAUAAUCUUCUCAAUCUCAGAAUCAACAUCAGAAUCCUCACUCUCACUCUCCUCCUCCUCCUCCUCACUACUCUCCUCCUCCUCAACCUCACCUCUCCCCACGCACCUCCUAACCUUCUCCAAGACCCGCGAGCCUCAUCAUUAUUCGACCCAGUGAUGUGCGCUAGAGCCAAAAGACCCUGGAAGCUCGCGUAAGAAUUCUCAGGGUCAUCAGACUUCUGCUGAGUCGUCUUCGGCUCUUCCUUGGCCGUCGGCGCGUAGGGAUCGUACCCGAUCGCGCUCUGCCAUAUGCCGUGAGUCUGAAGCGCCGCGCUGCUGUGAACACGGUUGUUCGCAGGCAUGCGAACUCUUCCCGCGGUGGCCGGCAUCUUUCACGAAACCCUAAAGAAUCUCACAACCAGAUCAGAUCGGAAGGAAUCGCAGGAGAGAGAGACGGAGCUUUGGUUCUUUCCUCUCUUAUCGUCUGAUUGAGAAUAAGAGAGGCGAAAAAGAAUUUGCAGGGAUUUGUAACGAUGAAAACAAAGUGAAGAAUUGGAGACGACAUAUUACUUUGGUUUAAAAGCAACUCCGAAGCAGGCUGACCCAUCAAACCGAAAAGCCCAUUUUUUUCUUUGGACAAAUGCGGUAAUGACAUGGCAGAACAUAACUUUUUCAUUGGUUGAUAAUUUUUUUUGACGUGGAGGGCCUCUCCAUUGAGGAUAUUUGGCUUUUAGUAGUGUUAGAUGUUGGAGUUAAAUAUUUGUACGCCGAAUAGUGAACGAAAAUUCGAUACGCCGAAUCAAAUAUCAAAGUCGCUACAAAGGUAAAAUAAAAUAUCAAAGUCGGUUGAUUACAACAAGGAAAUAAGGGAAAAAUAAUUAGGAGAAAUGUGGGUUAGGCCAAUCAUGUCACUUGAGCACAUGGAACCAUCAUCCAGUUUCUAUCUUCUUUACCUGUAAGAAACAAUUACAUGUUGACAAAAAGAAAAGAAAAUAAAUAACUACACAGCUCAUUGCUUCUCUCAUAUCUACUCAUUUCAUACACACACAGAAAAAGCAAGAAAUUUAUUGAUCGUUAUAUAUAUCAUGGAAAAUCUGAUGAAGUGAACCUGUAGAUAAUAAAUAUCAAAAAUCACCUGGAGAAAGAGAAAAUUAGGUAAAAUCAUUCACUGAACGAACAUACUGAAAAAGUAAGAAACCUAAUUAUCUAUUAAGAGCAUCUCCAAUAUAUAACUCUAUUUUUUUUUCCAAAAUGGAGUAAAAGUGAAAAUGGAGUAAAAUUACUCCAAUCCUACUCUAUUUUUCACUCUAUAAUGGAGUGAUGAACAAACAAAAAAUAGAUUACUCCAUUUAUGGAGUAAAUUUCAUUAUGAAGUAAGAUAUGGAGUUGGGUUGGAGCAUUCCUUACUCCAUAUUCACUUUUACUUUAUUUUAGAGAAAAAAAUUGGAGUAGGGAUAGAGAUGCCCUAACAAAAAAACUUACAAAAAUAUAAGAGCAUUAGUAUUGAUGAGAAACACAUUCAAUUUUUCAAAUCAAAUUUUAAUGUUAAAACUAAAUUAAGGAUUGAGAUUUUAACAAAUGCUAAACGAGAUUUAAAAAAAAACAGUAAAAUGUCUUAAAACUUCUACUCCUUUUCUAUUUUUAAUUUAUUUGUUCAUAAAAAAACUCUUAAAAAAUUAUCAAUGUUGAUGCUCUAAGUUACUUGUUGACAAAAUUGUAAACUUCGUAAUAUUCUGAUUAUUUUGAAAACAAAAUGAAAAACAAAUACUACAGUGUGACAAUACAAUACUCGUUGAAGAUUAAUUUGCCGUCACCGAAAAAGAUAAUAAAUACAGUCCAAAAUAGUGCGGUGCGCAACUGCUCAUUGCUCUUUCCAACUGAUUAUUUUCAUAGUUGAUGAACUAAAACCUUUACGUGUCAUAAAUCAAUUCCACAGUACAACAUAAAACAGUUCUUAAACAGUUAAACUAAAAUUGAUAGUGGGAUAUAUAGUAAAAUACUGAAAACAUUCAUUCAAAUUAAAUUAUUCAAUGCGUUGGUGUAAAGUGACAUGUAUACACUUGGCCUUACAUGCGUACUCGUGUAUAAAAACACUAACAAAUGUAAUUCACAAGUCACACAACAAAAACAACUUACAACAAUAAGAGCAAACCCUUUUGUUAUCCUUCUCUUCAUUUGCUCUCCAUACGCCAAAUAUAAUAACAAUGGUGGCAAUGAAGAUGAAGCUUUUCGUGGCGGUUUUGGUUGCAAUGAUAGCUUUCUCUGCGGUGGUUCAGCAAUCGGCUGCAGCGGUUGACGCUCCUGCACCGAGUCCUACCUCCGAUGCAUCCUCGUUUAUCCCUACUAUCUUCACCUCCGUCUCGGUUUUGGUUGCUGGAUUACUCUUUUGAGAAGUAAUUUUCUUUGUGUGUUUUUAUUUAGUUAAAAUAAGAUCAACCGAUUGAUGUUUAAGUCUGGUCUUGUUUGUGUCUCUUUGAUUUCCUGUAGUUGCUUUUAUGUCUUGAGUUUGAUCUCUUUCUAUUUCUUUUCUCUAUUUUCCAUGUAUGGUUGUCGAAGUUGACUCAUCCUAAUAUCAAUAAUAUUUAUUAUUUCCGUCUUGAUAUUAAAAUUUAUUUAGUUAAAAUAUUGAAAUGCAUAUGAUGCAAACAAUAACCGAGAAACUUGCAUACCGGUAGGCAGGAUCUAACUGGAUCAAAUAGUCUACUAUAUUUGGUUUGUCUAGUGUUUUUUGUUCAAUAUUGGUUUGGUUAUCGUCCGACCUUUAGUUGAAUACUAAAUUCGAAUCUUAAGAUAAAAGCAAUUUUUAAAGCUGCUAAUAUGCUUCCUUUUUCAACUGAGAGUGAACAAAAAGCAAACACUUUUAAGUUUCCACAUGGCAUAUAUUUUGAAAUGUAACUAACUAAUUUAAUUCAUCCAAAAGAGUUUCUAAUUUGUUUAGUACUGACGCACAUUUCACCAAAACAGUUGUUUUCCUUUGAGUUUGACUGGAUCAGGAUUACUAUACAAACCAAACUUUUGAUGUUCUUUUCUGGGGUAAACUAGUCAACGUAAGUAUCAAAUUAGAGGGAAAAAACAAAAGGUGGUAAAUUCAAUAAAUACGUCAUACUUACCCUAUAAAAUACAAGAUUUGAAAGAUUAGUAGUACAUAUGUUGAGCAAACAAAUCAAUCAAAACGCUUCCUGUCAUCUGUUGUUCUUGCUUUCUUAUCUUGAGCCGUCUUAUAGUGUCUUACUUCCCUGUGUAUAGAGCGGAAUACAAAUAAACGAAAGAAGAUGGGUUUUAAUCGGCCAGAUAUUGGACAUUAAACAUAUAAGCCAUGGACUUACCCGUACUAUAUAUAUUGAAAAUGACAAGAAUUUCUUACAAGUUGCGUAGAGCGACGCCACAACUGGAGUCUGGAUACAGUUUACUUAUAAAACCUUAUUAGCCACGAGUUUUGACUCCAAACAAGACCAUCGGUAUCAGUACGUACGGACAAUUAAAGUGCUCAAAGCUAAGCAAUAUUGACUUAAACAAAAGUGGACUCUUCUUUAGUUGCCAGAAGUUUUCAGUGAGUUUUCGUCGAGAAGUGUGAAGCCUUAGAUUAGAAUACCGUCACGUCACCACCCAGGUUACUUAGGAUAAGAUUGUUGUUAUUACUUAAUAGCAUAGGACAAUAUUAGCGCAAGUUGUGCUUCUGAUUUCUCGAUGACGGGCACUGAUUGUUAUUAGUACCUAACGAAACAUUUGCUUGAUUUCUUUUAGCUUGCAGCCUAAGUUUCUUUGGUGUUGACUUAUUAACACAAGUUACCGAAUGAAACAACUGAAAUCACAAUUAACUGUCUCGUCUCUUGCUUGUUGCGAAGUUGCUAACGUUAGUGUUGUCUCUUUCGUAACCUAUUAUUAUUACCUAUAACAGUCAAAUUGAGAGAACCACCGGUCGGAGACUUACUAUAGCAACCAAGACACAUUAAACAUCAGCCGUGGAAGCUCUUCUAAGCAGGGCCAGCCCAGAGAUUUGGGAGCUGUAGACCAAUGUUUCACUUAGCUAUGCUCAGGACCUCCCCUGACAGUCGCGAUUCUAGCAUGGAGAAAGUGAGAGAUAUGUUCAUCUUAUUUCUAUGUUUUGUAACAUUAUGUUGUGGUAUUGUGACAGGAGGAUGAGAUCACUCGAAACUUAAAGUGGAAAGUUUAUAAGCUCUUUGAAGCGUCUCUGAAGUCAACGUUUCCCAUAUUAGAACGCGAGCUUCGGAAGUUGUCCUUUUAGUUGAGUUGUUUGAUCGAUGAGGCCAAGGCCCGCAGUAAAGGUAUCUUUAUUGAACGUGGUAACAUUGAUUUCUGUUUACCGCAUCAUUUACAUUUUGGGGACUCUUGAGCUGUUCACUCAACCUUGAGUUUAACUCCGUGCAGGUACAAAAGAAAGGACUCCUGAAGAGCUGGACCAAACAGCCGAGGCAUUUGAAUAUGGUGCUGUAAAGUAGUGUCUGAUUAUGAGGAAAUGAUUCCUCCUUCUCGGAAUCACUCCUGUUUACAAGCUUUGAUACAUACAACUAAACGACCUAAAGCAAGUCUGCAAACAAGUCUGUUUAACUUUUUUUUAUACAAUUAAGACAUUUGAAUCUCUCUUACAGCAAGAGACGAGACUGAGUUUUCUUACAAGUCUUCUUCAAAGUUGCCCAGUUCUUGAAGCACGAACCUCAAAGUUAUUUGAUUCCAAUGUUCGAGUUAAUCCCACCUCAUGAAGAUAUUGGAAAGCUUUUAAAAAGGUGUGCAGCUCUUGAAGAUUUGGUCAUAACUCGUACCAGAGAUGACAAUGUGAGACUAUAUAAUAUCAACAAUGUGCCUACUUUGAAGAGUUUAACUAUCAAUAAAACUCAAGCGAGAAACGCCCCAACGACGACAAGGAGAUUCAUGGGUUUUGGAUAAAUGCUCCUGCUUUGGAGACUUUGAACAUUAAUGAUACAGUCAGUAACUUUCUUAUGCUUAAGUUUAUGCCCGAGGUGACCAAAGCGAAUAUCCAGGUUACUUGUGUCCAAACUGAGAAGUUCAUUGGAUCUCUUACCUCAAUCCAACAUUUUUCUCUCUGUUCUCGAUCUUCUUAGGUAAGAACCUAAUUUAUUACCCCAAUAAUGUCAAAAAAGUUUCUUCUAUGUUUGGUUAUUCUCAGUAUAUAUACGUACUUCAUUUUGCAGACUCCAUAUCGCCGUGGCUCUGUAUUUCCCUAUCUUGAACAUCUAGAGCCAUGUACAUGUUCUGCGGGAUGGGCCAAUCUUCUUGCUUCUAUACUCAAUGACGCUCCAAGGCUCCAAUCUUUAAGUCGGUAUGUAGUAUUGACUUUUUUUUACUAGCCACGACCAAACGUGAAAUUUUGGAGGCUACACGCAGUUCAAGGAUUUUAAUAUAAAAACUAGAUUUUAACCCGUGCAACCGCACGGGUGUUUGUUUUCACUUUUCUAUAUAUAAAUUAUUGUUUUAGAACAUAAUUGGUAUAUAUUUUUAAUGUUAAUCAUAUACUUAAAUAUUUAUAUAACUAUUUCAAAUACAAUGUUUUUAUAAUUUACAUGUUAUAAUUAAUUAAUUGUUUACAUCGUAUGUAUACCACUUCUUAUUAUAUGUUUAUCUUAUUGUAUUUGCAUUUAGUUAUUAAGCAAAUUAAUAUAUUAAUGAGAAAAUAUAUUUAAAAAUUAUUUUGUAUUUAAUUUAUGCUAAAUUCUGAUCCGCCUUUCAAAACUGAAUUUUUUUUACCAAUAUUUUUAUGCUUAUUCAUUUUAGAUAAUUUAUUAUUGUAUAUAUAAAAGUCUAAGAUAUGUUAAUUUUCAGACAUGUAUUAUAUAGUUUGUUAAUUUGAAGCUGUUCUAUCAUCAUAUUAUAUUUUAAAUAAAUAGUUUAUAUUUAUGAAAAUAAAAUUUAUAAAUUUAUCAAUUGAAUAUAAUUUUAUCAUAUUUAUUUUAGUAUAAUAAUUAAAUUUUAACAUGAUCAUGACUAUAAAGUAGAUAAAAUAUGAUAUAAUUUAUUUAUUUUCAUUUUUAAACGAUAACUUAAAAUACAUUAAGUUAUUGUUUAAAUAUUUUUACACAGAUUUAUUAGAAUUUUUAAAAUAUAAUAUAUAAAUAUAUAUUAUAUUUAAAAUGAAAAUAUAUUAUGAUUAAAGUAGUUACAAAGAUUUUAUAUUAUUAACUUUAAAGAAAUACAUGUUAAUUUUUAUACAUGUAUUAUAUAGUUUGAUAAUGUUAACCCAUCUUACAAACAUAUUAGAUUUUAUUUUUGAACAUAAAUAUUUUAUAAUUACGAAAAUAAAAUAUAUAAAUAUAUAAAUUUAAUACAAUUUUAUUAUAUUUAGCUCAAUAUAAUAAUUUUAAUUUAAUAUGAUUGAUUAUGAUUAUAUAAUAACUAAAAUAUUAUAGAUUUUUUUAUUUUUCAUUUUAUAUAACUGAAUAUAUUAAUGUAUAAUAAUAUUUUAAACUAAUUUCGAAAUUAGCAAAAAUAUUUAAAUAUAAUUUCGAAAAUGAAGAUCUUGUAAAAAUCUUUUUAAACAGAUUUGUUAGAAUUUUAAAAUAAAUAUAUUUAUAUUUAAAAUGAAAAGAUAUCAAAAUAUAUUAUGAUUAAAAUAUUUUAAAAAUUCUAUUUAUUAUUAGUCUAAACUAAAAUGUAAUAUGAAUUUCUAUGAAUAGGUCCAUUAGGUCCAUUUUUUUAAAAAUCACACAUGAAUCAAGGUUGUGACUUCUGUUUUAAUAUAUAAGAUUAAAAAUUAUACAAAUUUGGGGAUCUAUGUUUAUGUUAUUUAUUUCUUAAAUUUAGAGGAUAUAAACCAAUGUUUUACAGAAAAAUAAUAUGCCAUCAGACCAUUUUAUGUUUCCACCUUUAUUUUUGAACGAUCUACACUUGAGAGCUACCGUCCACAGAUGAAGACCAAAAUAAAUAUGAUUUUAAUAUGAUAUCUAUUUUUUAUAAAUCAAAAUAUCAAAAAACCAAACCGAGAUCAGACUGAAAUUGAAUAAACUAAAAAUCGGAACCAAACCAAAACGGAUGUGAUUUUAAUAUGAUAUCUAAUUUUUAUACACCAAAAUAUCGAAAAACUGAGACUUACUUCGAACAUAUGGUUCUUAUGCAUGUCUCACUCCACGGAAAGUGUGGAUCUCGUCCUAGUAUAUAUAUAUAACGAAAUCAGAAAUCAGUUACCAUAAAUAACAAAAUUCAUUGAUAAAAGAAAAAUAUAUAGAACCCACAUAAUGCUGAAAUAGACACUUUUAGAAAAGAGGAAAGUCUUUCAUUAUAUACAUAUAACUUUUCUAUGUUAUUCAUAGGGCUGGACAUUUUAUCUGUUAAAUUUGAUUCGAUUCGUUAUUAGUUUUGAUUCGAUCCGAAAAUUCCGGAUAUCCGUAAACUUACGAAUCAAAUCACAAAUAUUAAAAUAUUGGGAAGCGGAUAUCCGAUCCGAUCCGACAAUAUAUAAAUAUAUGUAUAUCUUGAUUAUAUUUAAAGUUUUUAAUGUAUAAAAUUAUAUAAUUAUUAUUCUAACAUAUGAUUUGAUAAAUUCUAUUCACAUUAUUACUUAUAUAAAAGUAUUAAAUUAAAGGCACAAUUAUGACAAUUAUAAAUUUUUUCUUAAGUUUUGUGUUAUUAUAAUUGUUAACUAACUUCAAAAAAUUUACAAAAUAUGUAGAUUUUCUACUCCUUGUCAUAUAUAUCAUGCAAAAAAAUUUUACAAAACAAAUAUGUAUCAAAUUUUUAGGAUUAUUUGUAUUAAUCAAAACAUAUGAAAUAUCCGUAAGUAUUCGUAAAUAUCUGUAAAUAUCUAUUUAUUUUUCGGAUAUCCGUUUUUCUGAAUAUCCGUAUUUUUCCGAAGCAAAGCAAAUCGAAAAGUUAAACAUCCGUGAUAUACGAAGCAAAUCGCAAAUACCUUUAAAACCUGGAUAUCUGAUCCGUGCCCAGGCCCAGUUAUUCAUUGGGUUGAGCCAAAGUCGGCAUUUUAUGAUUCCGGUUAGAGAGUUACCAAAUCAGGAAUAUUGGGAUAAGUCAAAACUAGACUUCUUUUCCACGUAGAAUGAAACUAACCUUUGCUGAUUAUUUUCCUCUUCUUCGUAUAUAUCUAUACUAUUAAAAGAGAAGUAUAAAUAAGAAAUAACCCUAAGACUUAAAACUUAAUUACAACUAGGUGACCGGUCCGCACCCUGUGCGGGCAUAAGAACAUGAUCGGUCCGGACCCUGUGUUCUCUCUCGGUCCGUACCUCACGAGAGGGAACACAGUAACGCCAGUAUGAAGAGGCAGAUAUUGUGUGUAUGUAUAAUUGCAACGUCACAAAAUAUUUUGUGUGUUUACGAAGAUACUUUCAUUCAAAAAAUGGAAUAAAUAGUGUAUAGUUUUAGAAGUAACAGAUUUUAUAUUAUCAUUAAUUAGAAUUGUAUUGUAUAUGUUUCGUAAUUCUUUAUUUUAGGUGAAUAAUAUUAUUUUUCCAUAAAUAAUAAACAAACAUUUAUGUAGACAUAUUAAAAGAAAAUAUAAUAAAAAUCAAAAUAUUAUCGAUAAAUAAUAUAAAUUAUAAAGUACAUUUCUCGAUAAAGAAAGCAAAUUCAAUUAGAAACUUGCAAAAAAUUAAAUAAAUUUUGUAAGCAAUUUGACGGGUUAACAUUAUUUGAUAGAUUUAUAAAUUUCUAAAUUUUAUUGAACAUGAAAUAAUAUUAAAUUGACAUACCGUCAUCGGUCUCCUAACUCAUCACAACCCAUCUAGCAAAUACAAAAAAAUAAAUAAUUGCAACAGUUUAUUCAUUUUAAAAUUUGUAUUUGAAAAAAAAAAGUAGAUUAAAAUUACGUACCGUGACUACGAAAUAUUAUGAAAAACUUGUUUGUAGACAACAUUCAAUAUUUUUGUCUGCGGCUUCCCUUCUUUACCAGUUAUUAGGAUUUUUAAUCCAGAUCUCGACUUAACUCUUGAAAGUGAAACUUUGCCUUGCAUUUUGUAAGCAUUUUAUAAAUUAUUUUAAAAUUAUGAUAAAUUUAUUCUUUAAAAAACGAUAAAUAAUUUAAAAAUAAUAUUAAUAAACAUUUUUGGCUUUUGUAAUAUUUAAAAUAGUUAUUAUAUAAUUAUAUUCGAACAUAAUUUAUCAAGUAGAGUAUAAAACUAUUAUAAUUAUCUUAUAUAAAAUUUCGUUCAUUGUAUUUUAUAGUUUAUAAAUAUUAAAAGUAAUAAAUAAAACAUUAUUAAUCUUUCUAUAAUACUUCCAAGGUAAAGUGGGUGGCAGAGUCGAUGAAAGUGGGUCGCAGAGUCGAUUCAUCAAGUAACAUAUAAUACUUCCAAGGCAAAGUGGGUGGCAGAGUCGAUGAAAGAUGAGGAGCCUUUGCGUCUAAACACAUUUUUCUUACCACACAAGCAGGAUCGUCGUAAUACCUUAAUAGUAUGAGAGUAGAGAUUUAUAAAUAAUACUUUAAAGAAUGAAAAGAGAAUGUUUGUAUUUUAAGACCUUGGGUGUCUCAUAUAUAUAUACAGUCGAUUUAUUUCUCAUAUUAAUGACGCACAAUAUUUUGCACAAUAAAUAAUGAAAUCGUUUAAAGAAAGAUAUUAAAUGUGUAUUGUCAAAAAAUGAUUUGCAUAUGAUAUGAUUUUAACUUGCGCAAGUAAUCUAUAUUAGAAAUAUAAGUUAUUAAAAACAAACAACCUAAUUAGAAACAUAAAAAUAUUUUGUAAGCAAUAUAAUAAAUAUGAUAUCAACAUGCGCAAGUUUACCGUUUGAACAAUAAGGAAAGUUUUUAAUAUUUGUCUUAAUUCUAAAUCUUGCCCAAGGGUAAACUAAAUCGAUAAUAUUUAAUGAUUUCAACUUGCGCAAGUAAUCCAUAUUGUGAAUAAGUGAUUUGCAUAUUUAAUGAUUUCAACUUGCGCAAGUAAUCCAUAUUGUGAAUAAGUGAUUUGCAUAUUUAAUGAUUUCAACUUGCGCAAGUAAUCUAUAUUAGAAAGGUAAGUUAUUAAAAACAAAUUUUGUCAAUAAGUUAUUUGCAUAUUUAAUGAUUUCAACUUGCGCAAGUAAUCCAUAUUAGAAAGGUAAGUUAUUAAAAACAAAUUUUGUCAAUAAGUUAUUUGCAUAUUUAAUGAUUUCAACUUGCGCAAGUAAUCCAUAUUAGAAAGGUAAGUUGUUAAAAACAAACAACCUAAUUAGUAGGGGUGGGCACUUUACCCGAUAUCCGAAGUGGCACCCGGACCCGAUCCGAAAAUGCAUGUCAAGUUUUUUAUAUAAAAUAUUAACAAAAAAUUACAUCCAAUUUUUUUAAAAAAAAUAACUAAAUUAAUGCCUUUUUAGUUUUAAAUUUUUAUGUCUAAAUCUAUUAACCAUUCAAUCUAUUAAAAAUAAAAAAUUGGUUAACUGAAAAUUAUAUUUUUAAAUAUAAGAAACUUGAAAAAUGAAAAUUUUAAUUUUUUUUUUCAAAAUCUAAAUAUCCGACCCGAUCUGAAAUAACCGAAUCCGAACUAAAAACACCCAAACCCGACCCGAAGUACAGAAAUACCCGAACGGGUUCUACACCUCUAUACCGAAAUACUCGAAAAUCCAAAAUAGCCGACCCGAACCCGAACGGGUACCCGAACGCCCACCCCUACUAAUUAGAAAAAUUAUAAUAUUUUCUACGCAAAUGUAAUUAAUAUGAUAUCAACAUGCGCAAGUUUACUGUUUGAAUAAUAAGGAAAGUUUUUAAUAUUUGUCUUAGUUCUAAAUCUUGCCCAAUGCUAAACUAAAUCGAUAAUUAUUAUCCCCUAGCUAUAUAUGGGCUUAACGAAAUCGACAAUAUUUUUGGGCUUGUCUACAUAAGCGAUUGAUUAAAAUAAAAUUCAAAAAAAUCGACCAAUAGAAUUAUAACAAUUUUUCUGAGAAGCUUUAUAUUAAUGACAUGUCAGCAAAAAUCACUAAAGUGACUUCUCUUUUAAUGUAUAGGGGGAUUGUAUAUGUGUCGUAAUUCUUUAUUUAGGUGAAUAAUAUUAUUUUUCCAUCAAUAAUAAACAAACAUUUAUGUAGACAUAUUAAAAGAAAAUAUAAAAAAAUCAAAAUAUUAUCCAUAAAUAAUAUAAAUUAUGAAGUACAUUUAUCGAUAAAGAAAGCAAAUUCAAUUAGAAACGUGCAAAAAAUUAAAUAAAUUUUGUAAGCAAUUUGACGGGUUAACAUUAUUUGAUAGAUUUAUAAAUUUCUAAAUUUUAUUGAACAUGAAAUAAUAUUAAAUUGAUAUACCGUCAUCGGUCUCCUAACUCAUCACAACCUAUCUGGCAAAUACAAAAAAUAAAUAAUUGCAAGAGUUUAUAUAUUUCAAAAUUUGUAUUUGAAAAAAAGUAGAUUAAAAUUACGUACCAUGACUACGGAAUAUUCAGAAAAUUUGUUUGUAGACAACAUUCAAUGUUUUUGUCUUCGGCUUCCCUUCUUUACGAGUUAUUAGGAUUUUUAAUCCAGAUCUCGACUUAACUCUUGAGAGUGCAACUUUGCCUUGCAUUUUGUAUGCAUUUUAUUAAUUAUUUUAAAAUUAUGAUAAAUUUAUUCUUUAAACAAUGAUAAAUAAUUUAAAAAUAAUAUUAAUAAACAUUUUUGGAUUUUGUAAUAUUUAAAAUAGUUAUUAUAUAAUUAUAUUCGAACACAAUUCAUCAAGUAGAGGAUAAAACUAUUAUAAUUAUCUUAUAUAAAAUUUCGUUUAUUUUAUUUUAUAGGUUAUAAAUAUUAAAAGUAAUAAAUAAAAUGUUUGUAUUUUAAGAGAUUUGUGAAUAAUACUUUAAAGAAUGAAAAGAGAAUGUUUGUAUUUUAAGACCUUGGGUGUCUCCUAUAUAUAUAUACAGUCGAUUUAUUCUCAUAUUAAUGAUUUUAAUAUUUUGUACAAUAAAUAAUAAAAUCGUUUAAAGAAAGAUAUUAAAUGUGUAUUGUCAAAAAAUGAUUUGCAUAUGAUAUGAUUUUAACUUGCGCAAGUAAUCCAUAUUAGAAAGGUAAGUUAUUAAAAACAAACAACCUAAUUAGAAACAUUAAAAUAUUUUGUAAGCAAUAUAAUAAAUAUGAUAUCAACAUGCGCAAGUUUACCGUUUGAAUAAUAAGGAAAGUUUUUAAUAUUUGUCUUAAUUCUAAAUCUUGCCCAAUGUAAACUAAAUCGAUAAAAUUUAAUGAUUUCAACUUGCGCAAGUAAUCCAUAUUGUGAAUAAGUGAUUUGCAUAUUUAAUGAUUUCAACUUGCGCAAGUAAUCCAUAUUGUGAAUAAGUGAUUUGCAUAUUUAAUGAUUUCAACUUGCGCAAGUAAUCCAUAUUGUGAAUAAGUGAUUUGCAUAUUUAAUGAUUUCAACUUGCGCAAGUAAUCCAUAUUUGUCAAAAAAUGAUUUGCAUAUGAUAUGAUUUUAACUUGUGCAAGUAAUCCAUAUUAGAAAGGUAAGUUAUUAAAAACAAACAACCUAAUUAGUAGGGGUGGGCACUUUACCCGAUAUCUGAAGUGGCACCCAAACCCGAUCCGAAAAACCCGAACUGAAAUCCGAACCGAAGUAGCAAAAUACCUGAACGGGUAUUGAAUAAGGAGAGAUUGGAUACCUGAACCCGAAUGGAUAAUACCCGAACCCGAAUGGAUAUCCGAAGAUAACCAAACAUAUGUAUAAUUAAUAAUUAACCUUAUAUUUUUAGUUUACAUCUCUCAUUUUAUAUAAAAUAUUUAUAUUGAUACUACACAUACUUUAAGUUCAUAUAAUAUACAUACAAUUACGAAAAAAAUGAUUUGCUACUCACUUAAAAUGCAUGUCAAGUUUUUUAUUAAAAAAAUUAACAAAAAGUUACAUCCGAAAUUUUUAAAAAAUAACUACAUUAAUGCCUUUUUAGUUUUAAAAUGUUAUGUCCAAAUCUAUUAACUAUUCAAUCUAUUAAAAAUAAAAAAUUAGUUAACUGAAAGUUAUAUUUUUAAAUAUAAGAAACUUGAGAAAUAAAAAUUUUAAUUUUUUUUUCAAAAUCUAAAUAUCCGAACGAGAUCCGAAAUAACCAAAUCCGAACUAAAAAUACCCGAACCCGACCCGAAGUACAGAAAUACCCGAACGGGUUCUACACCUCUAUAGCGAAAUAUCCGAAAAUCCAAAAUACCCGACCCGAACCCGAACGGGUACCCAAGGCUAAACUAAAUCGAAAAUUAUUGUCCCCUAGCUAUAUAUGGGCUUAACAAAAUUGACAAUAGUUUUGGGGUUUUCUACAUAAGCGAUUGAUUAAAAUAAAUGAAAAAGAAAAAUUCAAAAAAACCAGCCAAUAGAAUUAUAACGUUUUUCUGAGAAGCUAUAUAUGAGUGCCACCUCAGCAGAAAUCACUAAAGUGACUUCUCUUUUAAUGUAUAGGGGGAUAUUUAUAUUGAUACUACCCAUACUUUAAGUUCAUAUGAUAUACAUACAAUUACGAAAAAAUGAUUUGCUACUCACUUAAUAUUUUUUAUUAAAAAAAUUAACAAAAAGUGACAUCCGAAAUUUAAAAAAAUAACUAAAUUAAUGCCUUUUUAGUUUUAAAAUGUUAUGUUCAAUUCUAUUAACUAUUCAAUCUAUUAAAAAUAAAAAAUUAGUUAACUGAAAGUUAUAUUUUUAAAUAUAAGAAACUUGAGAAAUAAAAAUUUUAAUUUUUUUUUCAAAAUCUAAAUAUCCGAACGAGAUCCGAAAUAACCAAAUCCGAACUAAAAAUACCCGAACCCGACCCGAAGUACAGAAAUACCCGAACGGGUUCUACACCUCUAUAGCGAAAUAUCCGAAAAUCCAAAAUACCCGACCCGAACCCGAACGGGUACCCAAGGCUAAACUAAAUCGAAAAUUAUUGUCCCCUAGCUAUAUAUGGGCUUAACAAAAUUGACAAUAGUUUUGGGGUUUUCUACAUAAGCGAUUGAUUAAAAUAAAUGAAAAAGAAAAAUUCAAAAAACCAGCCAAUAGAAUUAUAACGUUUUUCCUGAGAAGCUCUAUAUGAGUGCCACCUCAGCAGAAAUCACUAAAGUGACUUCUCUUUUAAUGUAUAGGGGGAUAUUUAUAUUGAUACUACCCAUACUUUAAGUUCAUAUGAUAUACAUACAAUUACGAAAAAAUGAUUUGCUACUCACUUAAUAUUUUUUAUUAAAAAAAUUAACAAAAAGUGACAUCCGAAAUUUAAAAAAAUAACUAAAUUAAUGCCUUUUUAGUUUUAAAAUGUUAUGUCCAAAUCUAUUAACUAUUCAAUCUAUUAAAAAUAAAAAAUUAGUUAACUGAAAGUUAUAUUUUUAAAUAUAAGAAACUUGAGAAAUGAAAAUUUUAAUUUUUUUUUUCAAUAUCUAAAUAUCCGAACCAGAUCCGAAAUAACCGAAUCCGAACUAAAAAUACCCGAAGUACAGAAAUACCCGAACAGGUUCUACACCUCUAUACCGAAAUAUCCGAAAAUCUGAAAUACCUGACCCGAACCCGAACGGGUGCCCAAGGCUAAACUAAAUCAAUAAUUAUUACCCCCUAGCUAUAUAUGGGCUUAACGAAAUCGACAAUAGUUUUGGGCUUGUCUACAUAAGCGAUUGAUUAAAAUAAAUGAAAAAGAAAAAUUCAAAAAACCAGCCAAUAGAAUUAUAACGUUUUUCCUGAGAAGCUCUAUAUGAGUGCCACCUCAGCAGAAAUCACUAAAGUGACUUCUCUUUUAAUGUAUAGGGGGAUACAAUACCACUGAAAUAAUUAAUAAACAUAAAUCUAAAUUAUUAUUUUUUCCUAAAUCUAUUCCACAACAAAUUCAUGAUAAAUAUUACACUUAAUGCACAUUAAUACUAUAAACCUUAAUAUGUAAAGUAGAAAAAUUAUUUCUAUAAUUUCAUGGGUAUUAUCUUCUAUUAAAUAAUGUUUAUUACACUGUCAAAAUUUUAUUGUUAAUGAAAUCAAUUAACAAUAUUUAAAAAAUUUAAAGGAUAUGUCGUAUUUGAGAAUAAAAACUUAAUAAUGAGAACAUAUUUAAAAAGAUCCAUUUUACAUGAUAAUUCUAAAUUUUACCUAAUUAAAAUUUUCAAAUAACCAAUAUGACUAAUCUAUUUAAUUGACGAUAUUGUUUUAGAUAUAUAUAACUAAAAUGCUAUUAGAAAAUUAUUUUUAAAUUAUGUAUGAUAUUACACAUGUUCAAUUAAAUUUUACCUUAAAUUAUUUUCUUUAGUAAGGAUUUGAAAUAUUAGAUUUGGUAAUAACAUGUACAUUUAAGUAUUAGUAUUAAAAAAAUUAAAAACACCUAAGAUUUUUCUUAUGAGAAAAUUGAUAGGGAAAGUUUCAAAAGAAUAUUAUUCAAGUUUUGUAUGCGAAGAAAAACAUUUAGAUAAGAUAAAAAUGUUGUAAAAAAAAAUAAAAAAAUCAUAUAAAAUAAAAAUCCUGCAUAUAAUAAAAUGUUAAAGUCAAUAAGUUAAAAUAAAAUUAAUUUGAUAAUAAUAUAAAUACGAGAAAUGCAAUUACUCAUUCUAACAAAUUACUCAUUUUCAUAAGUAUAAUAUAAAUAUUUUAGUGUUAAAAAUGGAUGACGAAUAUUUAUAUAUUGGGUUGAGAAAUUAAAAAUUAAGAUUACUUAUAUAACGGAUUGGAAAUUUAAAUAUAGUUAUCAUUUAUGACCAAAAACCUAUCAAAACAUCUCAAACAUUAUUUUCGCAUAUAUAUUUUAGUUUAUGGAAAACACACACAUAAACUAAAAUAAACUAAAAAAUGUAUAUUUUAAUUAUUAUGCGUAAUGUCAUAAUAAAAAUAAAUAAUACGUGAAAAAUAAAUAAAUAUUAUGUUAUUUAUAGAAAAAAAAUAAUAUAUAUAUAUAUUUUAUUUUUUUUUGUCAUCAACUUUACAGACUCAUAUUGACUCUGUGAACCAAACUGGGAGAUCUUGAUCCAUGUGAACUACAAAAGACGUUUCCUUCCUAGCACUGCGAGCUAAGCUAUCUGCCUUCUUGUUCUGCGUUCUUGGUACAUAGAUAAUCUCUGCUCGGAAAAAAUUCUCUUUCAGGCUGUUUAUAUCUUCCAAAUAACUUGCAAAUGCUGGCCAUUCUUCUGGUUCUGAAACUAUCUUCACCAAUUGAGAACAAUCCGCUGCAAACGUAACCUGAAAUUGUCGUAAGUUUUUCAUACAUUCCAUUGCCCAUAAUAAAGCUUCCAUCUCCGCAUGAAGAGGAGUAAGGGAAGCCCGAACAUUUCUUGCACCCAUCAAACCCGCAAAUCCUUCUAGAGUACUAUACCAUCCUUGACCUGAAAAAACCUCAUUCUCUUUCCAGGAACCAUCCGUAAAACACCAUCUUCCUGAAAUUGACGGAAGAAUCGUAGCCUCUACCUGUGGACUCCUCUUGUGAUCAGUCAGUAUUUGUGCCUCAGCCCAGAGUUUUGAUUCCGUUUUCUGCCAGUUUAAGGGUAUCCAACGGAUCCACAUCCAAAUUACUAAAGACUUUAUUAUUUCGUCAUUUCCAUAUAUACCAUAGUAUCCAUGCAAACUGAUGAUCCUCCAUCUGUGGAACAAUUCUCCAAAAGAGAUGAUCCAUGUUCACAAAGAGAGAACUUAUUGGAAACAUAGCUGGAUUUGUUGGAAUCUUUGAAAGAGCCCAUGUCUGAAGUGCAGGAGGACAUUCAAAGAAUACAUGGUUGAUCGAUUCCUCCUCAGCUCCACAUCUUGCACAAACGAUAUCUCCGGGUAUCCUUCGCUUAUGCAGAUUCUUCUUGACUGCUAUACACCCUGUCACCAAUUGCCAUAGAAAAUGCUUAAUCUUUGGUGGACACCGUAUUUUCCAACAAUAUACCCUCAACAUAUCCACUGUGGGUCCAAACACUAAUGCUGGUUUUUCCUUAUCUGGGUAUAUCCUUUCAACCUGAUAUCCAGAUUUAACCGUGUAUUUUCCAUUGUUUGUGAAAUGCCAUCCAUCUUUGUCUGCCAUCCGAGUUCUACUCAAUGGUAUACUUUCUAUUAAUUUCACAUCCUGUGGGUCCAUCAAAGCCCGAAGCGCCGGGAAAUUCCAUCUUCGCAAAUGAGGAUCAAUAAGAGAAUCCACUGUAAGGUCUGGGUAAAGAUUGUGUUGAUUUUUAUUUGCUGGUCUCGGGCGAGUGGUUGGGAGCCAAGGAUCAUUCCAUACGGAUAUAUAAGAUCCUGUUCCCACCCUUUUGAUUAGUCAUUUGCUUACCAGAGAUCUAGCAGAAACAAUACUCCGCCAACCAUAUGACGGAGAGUAUGAACGAAU
RNAcentral lists this long non-coding RNA (23692 nucleotides) under Brassica napus (rape). RNAcentral's name for it is "long non-coding RNA (BNAP_LNC008755)". Lineage: Eukaryota; Viridiplantae; Streptophyta; Magnoliopsida; Brassicales; Brassicaceae. The record is from RNAcentral.